AAGAGGGGGAGGUGCGGGAGGGAGGAGGGCGAGCUGCGCGCGCUGGUCUGGCGGGGGCCGACCCGGCCGCGCCCGCCUCGUGACCCACCCUGGGGCCCAGCCUGGACCUGCGCGCCCAGCCGAGCUGCUGACUAAGCGGGCACGCAGCGGCCUGGCGCGAGGUUCUUCAGAGGGCGAUCGUUGGGCGGUCGGGCACCGACUUCCUAGCACCCUGGGCGGCUGCGCCCUCCUGCGGACGGGCCUACGCCUGGAUGUGGGCACGCGGGUCCUCUGGGGCGGCGGAGCGGCCUCAGAGCACGAGGUGCCGAGUAGCACCCAGCUCCCAACCGCGCGUCGCUGCAGGGAACGCUGCGCCCAGGGCCCCGCCCCGCCCUGUCCCGGCGCUCAUUUGUCGUCAGCCGUCUCUAGCAUUUUGCAGCCCUUACCUGGGCGGUGCCUGUCAGGGUGUGUUUCAUAACCCAACGAGGGGCUUUGGAAGAAAGGGUGGCCAAGGGCUCAUCUGUGACCCUCAGCCUCAUGAGAAUUGUGGGAAGUUUUCUCUACCCUGGCACCUACCUCACUCUUUACUGGAAGACCCGUAUAGGACCGCACGCACAGUUUUUGCUGCCCCUCUCCAGAAUUUUUCACCUCGUGGGACAUUGCUGUGACCAUCAUGGGAGGAUGGCCUGAACCCUGGAGAGAAGUUAGCCUCCAAUAGCUUGAAGGAGACUGACAAGGACCAUCUCCUGGAAGGAAGAAAAGAAAGUGCUAAUGUGGCACGGGUGAGGGACUGACCUAAGUUUUUUUCACAAGUGAGCUCAUCUGAGGGGCUGAGGCUGUAGCUCAAUGGUAAAGUGCUUGCCUCUCAUGUGUGAGGCAUUGGGUUCAAUCCUCAGCACCACGUAAAAAUAAAGAUACAAGUGAGCUCAUCUGAGUCCAUAAGGGUGUUGUGAGCUAGGUGGAACAUUUGAUAUAAGGAAAUUGGUUCAUCAGGUUAAAAUAGGUCACCUCAUAUCUCAUAGCAAGGAUGACAUAGAGCCAUACUCUUGGAGACUCCACUGCAGUUGUGUUCUAGGGUUCUGGCAAGAAAGGAUCAUCUGGUCAAGUCUCCCUCACAGUCUUGAGAUGCUAGGGACCAUAUUAGAGGGUAUGAACGAAGGCAUCUUACACUAUGGCCUACCCCUCCAAGUUCUCAGCCGUUUGUCUCAGAACAAAACCACACUAGGUAGCCAGGUGUUCAGGCGUAUGCCUGUAAUCCCUGCUACUUGGGAGGCUGAGGGAGGGAGAUUGCAAGACCAGCCAAAACAAUUUAGUGAGAUCCUGUCUCAAAAAAGGGCUGGGGAUAUAGCUUAGUGGUUAAGUGCACCCAUGUUCUAUCCCUGGUACCAGAAAAACAACAACAACAAAAAUAAAAUAAAACACAUUAAACCAUG
This is a long non-coding RNA of Marmota monax (woodchuck), 1412 nucleotides long. RefSeq lists it as uncharacterized. The transcript is spliced from 2 exons. The record is from RefSeq and is a predicted model, not a curated record. NCBI's taxonomy places the organism in Eukaryota, Metazoa, Chordata, Mammalia, Rodentia, Sciuridae.